AACGAACGCUGGCGGCAUGCCUAACACAUGCAAGUCGAACGAGACCUUCGGGUCUAGUGGCGCACGGGUGCGUACCGCGUGGGAACCUGCCCUUAGGUUCGGAAUAACUCCCCGAAAGGGGUGCUAAUACCGGAUAAUGUCUUCGGACCAAAGAUUUAUCGCGUUUGGAUGGGCCCGCGUUGGAUUAGCUAGUUGGUAGGGUAAAAGCCUACCAAGGGGAGGAUGCUUAGCUGGUCUGUGAGGAGGACCAGCCACGCUGGGAAUGCGACACGGCCCAGACUCCUACGGGAGGGAGCAGUGGGGAAUAUUGGACACGGGGCGAAAGCCUGAUAAAGCAAUGCCGCGGGAGUGAUGAAGGCCUUAGGGUUGUAAAGCUCUUUUACCCGGGAUGAUAAUGACAGUACCGGGAGAAUAAGCACCGGCUAACUACGUG
RNAcentral lists this ribosomal RNA (433 nucleotides) under uncultured bacterium. RNAcentral describes it as "partial 16S ribosomal RNA". It matches the Rfam family "Bacterial small subunit ribosomal RNA", at positions 29 to 507 of the family's 1533-position model. The record is from RNAcentral.